ACUAGCUUUAGCGCAAUAACUGGAAGUCUAUGGUUAUCUACUAGCAUGCCAGCUCAUUGCCAAAAUCCAGAAUGAUCCCUUUAAGACAAAGCUGCUGCUACUCUCUGUUGAUCAUAUAUGCAGUCACAUUAACUAUACAUUCAUGUACAUACUACCUCAAUCAGCCUGACUAACCGGUGCCUGUAUGUAGCCUCGCUACUGUAUAAAGCCUCGCUACUGUUAUAGCCUCACUACUGUAUAUAGCCUCGCUACGGUAUAAAGGCUCGCUACUGUUAUAGCCUCACUACUGUAUGUAGCCUCGAUACGGUAUGUAGCCUCGAUACUGUUAUUUUUCACUGUCUUUUUACUGUCGUUUUUAUUUUUCUACUUACCCAUUGUUCACCUAAUACCUUUUUUUGCACUGUUGGUUAGAGUCUGUAAGUAAGCAUUUCACUGUAAGGUCUACACCGGUUGUAUUCGGCAUUUCACUGUAAGGUCUACACCGGUUGUAUUCGGCAUUUCACUGUAAGGUCUACACCGGUUGUAUUCGGCAUUUCACUGUAAGGUCUACACCGGUUGUAUUCGGCAUUUCACUCUAAGGUCUACACCGGUUGUAUUCGGCAUUUCACUCUAAGGUCUACACCGGUUGUAUUCGGCAUUUCACUGUAAGGUCUACACCGGUUGUAUUCGGCAUUUCACUGCAAGGUCUACACCGGUUGUAUUCGGCAUUUCACUGCAAGGUCUACACCGGUUGUAUUCGGCAUUUCACUGUAAGGUCUACACCGGUUGUAUUCGGCAUUUCACUGUAAGGUCUACACCGGUUGUAUUCGGCGCACGUGACAAAGAAGACUUUGAUUUGAUUUGAAUGUAGCCAACAGAAGA
Molecule: long non-coding RNA, 861 nt
Organism: Oncorhynchus keta (chum salmon)
Lineage: Eukaryota; Metazoa; Chordata; Actinopteri; Salmoniformes; Salmonidae
Exons: 3
Source: RefSeq, a predicted model, not a curated record